GACGAACGCUGGCGGCGUGCCUAAUACAUGCAAGUAGAACGCACAGUUUAUACCGUAGCUUGCUACACCAUAGACUGUGAGUUGCGAACGGGUGAGUAACGCGUAGGUAACCUGCCUGGUAGCGGGGGAUAACUAUUGGAAACGAUAGCUAAUACCGCAUAAUAUUGAUUAUUGCAUGAUAAUUGAUUGAAAGAUGCUAUUGCAUCACUACCAGAUGGACCUGCGUUGUAUUAGCUAGUAGGUGAGGUAACGGCUCACCUAGGCGACGAUACAUAGCCGACAUGAGAGGGUGAUCGGCCACACUGGGACUGAGACACGGCCCAGACUCCUACGGGAGGCAGCAGUAGGGAAUCUUCGGCAAUGGACGAAAGUCUGACCGAGCAACGCCGCGUGAGUGAAGAAGGUUGUCGGAUCGUAAAGCUCUGUUGUAAGAGAAGAACGGGUGUGAGAGUGGAAAGUUCACACUGUGACGGUAUCUUACCAGAAAGGGACGGCUAACUACGUG
This 505-nucleotide ribosomal RNA is filed under the name uncultured bacterium. RNAcentral describes it as "partial 16S ribosomal RNA". It matches the Rfam family "Bacterial small subunit ribosomal RNA", at positions 28 to 507 of the family's 1533-position model. The record is from RNAcentral.